This 440-nucleotide ribosomal RNA is filed under the name uncultured bacterium. Its description in RNAcentral is "partial 16S ribosomal RNA". It matches the Rfam family "Bacterial small subunit ribosomal RNA", at positions 338 to 795 of the family's 1533-position model. The record is from RNAcentral.
ACUACGGGAGGCAGCAGUGGGGGAUAUUGCACAAUGGGGGAAACCCUGAUGCAGCGACGCCGCGUGUGGGAAGACGGUCCUCUGGAUUGUAAACCACUGUCCCCAGGGACGAAGAUGACGGUAUCUGGGGAGGAAGCUCCGGCUAACUACGUGCCAGCAGCCGCGGUAAUACGAAGGGAGCGAGCGUUGUCCGGAAUUACUGGGUGUAAAGGGAGCGUAGGCGGGACUGCAAGUUGGGUGUCAAAUCUACCGGCUCAACCGGUAGCCGCACUCAAAACUGCAGUUCUUGAGUGAAGUAGAGGCAGGCGGAAUUCCGAGUGUAGCGGUGAAAUGCGUAGAUAUUAGGAGGAACACCAGUGGCGAAGGCGGCCUGCUGGGCUUUUACUGACGCUGAGGCUCGAAAGUGUGGGGAGCAAACAGGAUUAGAUACCCCAGUAGUC